RNAcentral lists this transfer RNA (83 nucleotides) under Pirellulaceae bacterium. Its description in RNAcentral is "tRNA-Ser". It matches the Rfam family "tRNA". From Rfam's summary of the family: Transfer RNA (tRNA) molecules are approximately 80 nucleotides in length. Their secondary structure includes four short double-helical elements and three loops (D, anti-codon, and T loops). Lineage: Bacteria; Pseudomonadati; Planctomycetota; Planctomycetia; Pirellulales; Pirellulaceae. The record is from RNAcentral.
GGAGGGUAGGCGAAUUGGCUAGCAACCUGAUUCGAAAUCAGGCGCCGGUUAUCCGGUUGCGGGUUCGAGUCCCGUGCCCUCCG